Molecule: ribosomal RNA, 409 nt
Filed under: Actinomycetes bacterium
Lineage: Bacteria; Bacillati; Actinomycetota; Actinomycetes
Description: Actinobacteria bacterium partial 16S ribosomal RNA
Rfam family: Bacterial small subunit ribosomal RNA
Source: RNAcentral
UGGGGAAUAUUGCACAAUGGGCGAAAGCCUGAUGCAGCGACGCCGCGUGAGGGAUGACGGCCUUCGGGUUGUAAACCUCUUUCAGCAGGGACGAAGCGCAAGUGACGGUACCUGCAGAAGAAGCACCGGCUAACUACGUGCCAGCAGCCGCGGUAAUACGUAGGGUGCAAGCGUUGUCCGGAAUUACUGGGAGUAAAGAGUUCGUAGGCGGUUUGUCGCGUCGUUUGUGAAAACCAGCAGCUCAACUGCUGGCUUGCAGGCGAUACGGGCAGACUUGAGUACUGCAGGGGAGACUGGAAUUCCUGGUGUAGCGGUGAAAUGCGCAGAUAUCAGGAGGAACACCGGUGGCGAAGGCGGGUCUCUGGGCAGUAACUGACGCUGAGGAACGAAAGCGUGGGUAGCGAACAGG